AUGGGUUUUCACUCUAAUAUCUUGAUAUUUUCGGGUUUGCGUGACUGUGCGCUGCGCUCGUUAUUAAUAAUAAUAAUAAUAAUAAUAACAGUAAUACUGAAAGGAUGUGAAGUGUUUAUACUGACGGAGCCCAUCUCAGGGCCUGGCCAGUCGGAGCUGCGCAUGCGCACCGGAGCAGCGCUAAUGGCGGAGAGCGUGCGGUCGCCGUUCGAUUACCGGGAGCCCCCGACCCUCGACAGCGACGGGGAUGGAGGAAAGCCGCCGCGCGGGCGAGUGUGUGGCAGGAAGAGGAAGGGGACGCCGGUGAAGGUGUGUGAAAGAGCGGCGUAUGUGACGGAGGACGAGGAGGAGAGUCUGUCUGAACACAGUUACAGCCCAGGGGAUGAUCAGUACACCGAGGGAGCCGGAGACAGUGUUCCUCCGCCGGGCGGCCCGUACUACCUCACCGACCCGUCACAGCUCUGUGUGCCUGAGCUGGCUGAAGAGGGCGCUAGCGGCGUCCGCGGCCCUGUGCUGUUCCACCCCCCGCCCAACUGCAGGAUUAGAGAGGUGCAUUCUGGGAGUCAGGUCCGGCUCGUCGUCAUAGCCAUUCGAGACAUUGCCAAAGGCGAGGAGAUCACCGUGGACUACAGCCUGAGCGACUGGGGAGAGAAUGCCAUGGGCUUUCAUACUUCGGUGUCCCCACGUGGGUUUGAAUGUGGAUUCAACCCAGAGAGCACCAUCAAGAAGGAGGAGGAGCCGGGGUCACUGCCUCUGUCUCUCACUGUUUCUGACUACCUCACUCCGUCCUGGUCUCUGUCUCCCUCCUCCUCUCCGCUGUCUCACUCCGAGGCCAGCGACUCCGACCGAGAGGAGGAGGAGGAGGAGGAAGACGACGAUGACGACGACGACGAGGAGGACCUGGAGGAUCUGCGGGGACGCAUGAUGAGACGCCGCAAGAAACGCAAAACCUCGGCGACCAUCAAGAAGAAAGCCCAGCCCCGCCCCCUGUCCUUCACAUGCCCCGCCCCUUCCUCACCGCCGUCCUUCCAGCAGCCUCUAGCCCCGCCCACCACCAACAUAAACAACAAUAUAAACAUAAACAUCGGCGCGAGCGGCACGCUCUCCCGCAGACAGCACUGUCCCUACUGCGGCCGUCACUUCCGCUCCCUCGCUAGGCACCUGGAGAAACACCACGAGCAGCACCCCGAGGUCCGAGCCGCCAUGGAGCUGUCGCACCCCCCCGCCUCCUCGCACCCCUUCACCUCUCCCGCUCAGCCCUCGUCCUCCCUGGGAACCUCCCUGUUUUCCCGAGAGCGAGACUCUUCGUCUUCAGCUCCGAAAUCCGGAGGCGUCUCCUUCUCGCUCUCGCUGUCUCCGCCUCCUGCCUCCAGUACCUCAAAAAAGAGCUCAACAACAUCGCCGAAGAAGCCCACGGCUAACAAGAGCCCCUGGUUGUGCUCCUGCAACUUUCGGCACUCAUAUUAA
Long non-coding RNA from Cyprinus carpio (common carp), 1467 nucleotides. Lineage: Eukaryota; Metazoa; Chordata; Actinopteri; Cypriniformes; Cyprinidae. The record is from Ensembl.